CCUACGGGGCGCAGCAGUGGGGAAUAUUGCACAAUGGGGGAAACCCUGAUGCAGCGACGCCGCGUGAGUGAAGAAGUAUUUCGGUACGUAAAGCUCUAUCAGCAGGGAAGAAAAUGACGGUACCUGACUAAGAAGCCCCGGCUAACUACGUGCCAGCAGCCGCGGUAAUACGUAGGGGGCAAGCGUUAUCCGGAUUUACUGGUUGUAAAGGGAGCGUAGACGGCAGCGCAAGUCUGGAGUGAAAUCCCAUGGCUUAACCAUGGAACUGCUUUGGAAACUGUGCAGCUAGAGUGCAGGAGAGGUAAGCGGAAUUCCUAGUGUAGCGGUGAAAUGCGUAGAUAUUAGGAGGAACACCAGUGGCGAAGGCGGCUUACUGGACUGUAACUGACGUGGAGGCUCGAAAGCGUGGGGAGCAAACAGGAUUAGAUACCCCUGUAGUC
Molecule: ribosomal RNA, 440 nt
Filed under: uncultured bacterium
Lineage: Bacteria
Description: partial 16S ribosomal RNA
Rfam family: Bacterial small subunit ribosomal RNA
Source: RNAcentral